Molecule: long non-coding RNA, 926 nt
Organism: Centrocercus urophasianus (Greater sage-grouse)
Lineage: Eukaryota; Metazoa; Chordata; Aves; Galliformes; Phasianidae
Exons: 2
Source: RefSeq, a predicted model, not a curated record
AAUGGUCAUCAGUGCUCCUGCUGAGAAGACCAGCCACUCUGCACAUUGCAGAGAAUAACUUUAAUAUUUAAAAAAAAUAAAGACCAUACUUCUUUUAAAGAUCUUGCUCUAAACAAACUGAAUUAUUCAUGCACAGAAUUGUACAGCAUUAGAACACCUGUUUUCAAUCAUGCAUAAUGUAAAAUCACUCAUUACCUCACAAGAGCCUCUACAUCUCCAGCAAUCAAAUGGCAUUGAAACAGCGGAACAGGUGCUUGGCAGGUGGAUGCAAACAGAUGUUUUGGGCUUGCUUGUCUUUUCUUGUACAGGUGUGGUGAUCUUGUUUUUAGCGGCGUAAUUGCUAUUUAAAUAGGUGAUAUUUAAUUCUUACGUGAUUCAAUAUUUAUUUUUGCUUCUUCAGUUCCUUUUUCCACUCUGCGAACUGUGUAGGCUCCAGGCAGCCCAUGAGAUGUGCAAAGGCUCUGAGCUGUGAGGUGGGGUGAUGGCAUUGCAUUACAGUUACUCUGACUUUCAGUCCACAGGUCCUUGCCCACGACGCUUUCUCCCUUCUCUGCAAAAUCUGUGCUUAAUCACUGCGAAGACCACCUCACUCCCAACUAUCUGACAGUGGACAGGGGCCAGGACCCAAAGAGUGCAAACGUGCCCCAAGAAGAGAGAACGGAAUGAGAAGAUAAGCCAAGCUGCCAGCCCUGUGUCUGACUGUUGGAUUGGGAUUCAGGGCAGGAGUUAAGAUGCUUCACAUCCCAACAGCUGCACUAUGUCUUCAGGAUCUGAGAAACUGGACAAGACAACUGAAAAGGAAUCCAGUUGUUUAAGCUUCGGCUGGGAUUGUGUUUAUAUUUGUUUUGCUUGUAGCCUUUCGUUUCCAGCCUUGCAACUAAAAGCCUGACCUUGUCUUGCUUAAUAAACCUCAUGCAGAAGCUUUA